AUACGGAGGAUCCGAGCGUUAUCCGGAUUUAUUGGGUUUCAAGGGUGCGCAGGCGGCCAUUUAAGUCAGCGGUUAAAUCGUGGGGCUCAACCCCAUUCUGCCGUUGAUACUGGGUGGCUUGAUUGCGGUCGAGGUUGGCGGAAUUCGUUGUGUAGCGGUGAAAUGCAUAGAUAUGACGAAGAACACCGAUUGCGUAGGCAGCUGACCAGACCGCAAAUGACGCUCAUGCACGAAAGUGCGGGGAUCGAACAGGAUUAGAUACCCUGGUAGUCCGCACAGUAAACGAUGAAUACUUGUUUUCGGCGAUAUAAUGUCGGAGGCAAAGCGAAAGCGAUAAGUAUUCCACCUGGGGAGUACGCCGGCAACGGUGAAACUCAAAGGAAUUGACGGGG
This 392-nucleotide ribosomal RNA is filed under the name uncultured bacterium. RNAcentral describes it as "partial 16S ribosomal RNA". It matches the Rfam family "Bacterial small subunit ribosomal RNA", at positions 523 to 918 of the family's 1533-position model. The record is from RNAcentral.